CAUAAAAAGUGGACUGUGGUCAGCUGAGUCAUGCCCCCCAAGGGUGUCCACACCCUGAGCCCUGGAACCCGUGAUCAUGUGACCUCGUAGGGCAAGGGGACUUUACAUAUGGGAUUAAGUUAAGGAUUUUGAGGUGGGAACACUGUCCUGGAUUUCACAAGUGAAUCCGAUAUAAUUACAAGGGUCCCUGUAAAAAGGGAGGUGGGAGGGUUGGAGAGAGAGGGAAAGACUUGAAGAUGUCAUGCAGCUGCCUUUAAAGAUGGAGAAAGGGGCGAUGAGCCAAAGAAUGCAGGCGACUCCAGAAGCUGGCAAAGCAACAAUACAAAACCGAGGAACCGAGGAGCUAAGUGAAGGUGCCAGCUGAUUCCAACAGGCGUUUGAGAGGCAUAUGGUGAGACUGACCGGGACAGGGAGACUCAGCUGAGGCAGUUUGAAGUUAAUAAAGCUGGAAGGGCUGACCCCAGCGCAUUUUCUAAGGGUGCGGCAUCAACCUAGGAAGACUCAGUAGCAACCAGAGCCCAGCGCUGAAGAGUCACAACUGGGGCAGAAGUUCAAGAACCAGGAGUGAAGCAGAGACUGGAUGAUAAGGACUUACCCACCAGAGAGCCUUAAAGGGAGGGAACAGUGUGAGGGAACGCCAGAGGGAAAGCUACCCGCAGCCUAAGGAUCUCCACCUGGGGAUGGUUCCUGGUGUCAGAACAAAGAAGAGACUUCUUAAAA
Hipposideros armiger (great roundleaf bat) is the source of this 720-nucleotide long non-coding RNA. RefSeq lists it as uncharacterized. The record is from RefSeq and is a predicted model, not a curated record. Lineage: Eukaryota; Metazoa; Chordata; Mammalia; Chiroptera; Hipposideridae. The transcript is spliced from 3 exons.